Molecule: ribosomal RNA, 3220 nt
Filed under: Salmonella enterica subsp. enterica serovar Derby
Lineage: Bacteria; Pseudomonadati; Pseudomonadota; Gammaproteobacteria; Enterobacterales; Enterobacteriaceae
Description: bacterial LSU rRNA
Rfam family: Bacterial large subunit ribosomal RNA
Source: RNAcentral
UUAAGCGACUAAGCGUACACGGUGGAUGCCCUGGCAGUCAGAGGCGAUGAAGGACGUGCUAAUCUGCGAUAAGCGCCGGUAAGGUGAUAUGAACCGUUAUAACCGGCGAUUUCCGAAUGGGGAAACCCAGUGUGAUUCGUCACACUAUCAUUAACUGAAUCCAUAGGUUAAUGAGGCGAACCGGGGGAACUGAAACAUCUAAGUACCCCGAGGAAAAGAAAUCAACCGAGAUUCCCCCAGUAGCGGCGAGCGAACGGGGAGGAGCCCAGAGCCUGAAUCAGCAUGUGUGUUAGUGGAAGCGUCUGGAAAGGCGCGCGAUACAGGGUGACAGCCCCGUACACAAAAGCGCAUGUGCUGUGAGCUCGAUGAGUAGGGCGGGACACGUGGUAUCCUGUCUGAAUAUGGGGGGACCAUCCUCCAAGGCUAAAUACUCCUGACUGACCGAUAGUGAACCAGUACCGUGAGGGAAAGGCGAAAAGAACCCCGGCGAGGGGAGUGAAAAAGAACCUGAAACCGUGUACGUACAAGCAGUGGGAGCUGAGGGAAAGGCGAAAAGAACCCCGGCGAGGGGAGUGAAAAAGAACCUGAAACCGUGUACGUACAAGCAGUGGGAGCCCCACCACUAAGCCAGUGGUGAACUCCACAUACGCAUCCUUUGCUGAGGAUACGGUUAACGGAGCGCAAGCGACGUUCAACCGCAAAAGAAGCAGAGGGGGCUUAGUGGUGGGGUGACUGCGUACCUUUUGUAUAAUGGGUCAGCGACUUAUAUUCUGUAGCAAGGUUAACCGUAUAGGGGAGCCGGAGGGAAACCGAGUCUUAAUUGGGCGUUAAGUUGCAGGGUAUAGACCCGAAACCCGGUGAUCUAGCCAUGGGCAGGUUGGGCGUUAAGUUGCAGGGUAUAGACCCGAAACCCGGUGAUCUAGCCAUGGGCAGGUUGAAGGUUGGGUAACACUAACUGGAGGACCGAACCGACUAAUGUUGAAAAAUUAGCGGAUGACCUGUGGCUGGGGGUGAAAGGCCAAUCAAACCGGGAGAUAGCUGGUUCUCCCCGAAAGCUAUUUAGGUAGCGCCUCGUGAAUUCAUCUCCGGGGGUAGAGCACUGUUUCGGCUAGGGGGCCAUCCCGGCUUACCAACCCGAUGCAAACUGCGAAUACCGGAGAAUGUUAUCACGGGAGACACACGGCGGGUGCUAACGUCCGUCGUGAAGAGGGAAACAACCCAGACCGCCAGCUAAGGUCCCAAAGUCAUGGUUAAGUGGGAAACGAUGUGGGAAGGCCCAGACAGCCAGGAUGUUGGCUUAGAAGCAGCCAUCAUUUAAAGAAAGCGUAAUAGCUCACUGGUCGAGUCGGCCUGCGCGGAAGAUGUAACGGGGCUAAACCAUGCACCGAAGCUGCGGCAGCGAACGUAUCACUUAAAGCGAUUCAGCGGGUUACGAUUGACGGAGCGAAGCGACGUCAAAGCGUAUACAAAGUCGAGUCGGUUUAAGGAUACGUUCGUUGGGUAGGGGAGCGUUCUGUAAGCCUGUGAAGGUGGCCUGUGAGGGUUGCUGGAGGUAUCAGAAGUGCGAAUGCUGACAUAAGUAACGAUAAAGCGGGUGAAAAGCCCGCUCGCCGGAAGACCAAGGGUUCCUGUCCAACGUUAAUCGGGGCAGGGUGAGUCGACCCCUAAGGCGAGGCCGAAAGGCGUAGUCGAUGGGAAACGGGUUAAUAUUCCCGUACUUGGUGUUACUGCGAAGGGGGGACGGAGAAGGCUAUGUUGGCCGGGCGACGGUUGUCCCGGUUUAAGCGUGUAGGUGUGUGUUCCAGGUAAAUCCGGUUCACUUUAACACUGAGGCGUGAUGACGAGGCACUACGGUGCUGAAGCAACAAAUGCCCUGCUUCCAGGAAAAGCCUCUAAGCAUCAGGUAACAUCAAAUCGUACCCCAAACCGACACAGGUGGUCAGGUAGAGAAUACCAAGGCGCUUGAGAGAACUCGGGUGAAGGAACUAGGCAAAAUGGUGCCGUAACUUCGGGAGAAGGCACGCUGACAUGUAGGUGAAGUGAUUUACUCAUGGAGCUGAAGUCAGUCGAAGAUACCAGCUGGCUGCAACUGUUUAUUAAAAACACAGCACUGUGCAAACACGAAAGUGGACGUAUACGGUGUGACGCCUGCCCGGUGCCGGAAGGUUAAUUGAUGGGGUCAGCGCAAGCGAAGCUCCUGAUCGAAGCCCCGGUAAACGGCGGCCGUAACUAUAACGGUCCUAAGGUAGCGAAAUUCCUUGUCGGGUAAGUUCCGACCUGCACGAAUGGCGUAAUGAUGGCCAGGCUGUCUCCACCCGAGACUCAGUGAAAUUGAACUCGCUGUGAAGAUGCAGUGUACCCGCGGCAAGACGGAAAGACCCCGUGAACCUUUACUAUAGCUUGACACUGAACAUUGAGCCUUGAUGUGUAGGAUAGGUGGGAGGCUUUGAAGCGUGGACGCCAGUCUGCGUGGAGCCGGCCUUGAAAUACCACCCUUUAAUGUUUGAUGUUCUAACGUGGACCCGUGAUCCGGGUUGCGGACAGUGUCUGGUGGGUAGUUUGACUGGGGCGGUCUCCUCCUAAAGAGUAACGGAGGAGCACGAAGGUUGGCUAAUCCUGGUCGGACAUCAGGAGGUUAGUGCAAUGGCAUAAGCCAGCUUGACUGCGAGCGUGACGGCGCGAGCAGGUGCGAAAGCAGGUCAUAGUGAUCCGGUGGUUCUGAAUGGAAGGGCCAUCGCUCAACGGAUAAAAGGUACUCCGGGGAUAACAGGCUGAUACCGCCCAAGAGUUCAUAUCGACGGCGGUGUUUGGCACCUCGAUGUCGGCUCAUCACAUCCUGGGGCUGAAGUAGGUCCCAAGGGUAUGGCUGUUCGCCAUUUAAAGUGGUACGCGAGCUGGGUUUAGAACGUCGUGAGACAGUUCGGUCCCUAUCUGCCGUGGGCGCUGGAGAACUGAGGGGGGCUGCUCCUAGUACGAGAGGACCGGAGUGGACGCAUCACUGGUGUUCGGGUUGUCAUGCCAAUGGCACUGCCCGGUAGCUAAAUGCGGAAGAGAUAAGUGCUGAAAGCAUCUAAGCACGAAACUUGCCCCGAGAUGAGUUCUCCCUGAGACUUAAAGUCUCCUGAAGGAACGUUGAAGACGACGACGUUGAUAGGCCGGGUGUGUAAGCGCAGCGAUGCGUUGAGCUAACCGGUACUAAUGAACCGUGAGGCUUAACCUU